CUAAUAUUUUGCCUAUAUUUCUUUUUAAUUCUCAUUUCCUGUAGAUCUCUAGCACAGUGAAGAUUUGCCAUCAUGUUGCUUGUAACUGCAAAGAAAAGAAAUUCACCAAAACCCUCUUACAUGACCGCUGCAUGCAGGAUGCAGGACUGGUGAUCCUGAGCUUCAGCACUAUUUUGUUCAACUGGGAUUUGAUUUAAUUCCCUCUCCUCCGUCACACUGUUUCUGAUUGGUGAGUGACAUCUCUUGCUGCCGCCUUGUUCACCUGUAGAAAGUGUCAGCUUGGUUUUGAAGGGUGGAACAAAAGUUUUAACAGCUUUGCCUGACUUGCACGAACUUCUUGUUUCCUCGCUAUCCUUGGCCACGGCCUUAUGUGGAGUAAAAAGCCCUGAAGCACCACUUGAAGACUGCCGUAGGGCACAGUGCUGAAAAACGGCAGGUAUAGAUUUAAAUCCUUUCAAGUCUUGAUCAGGAAGAGUAAGUGUAGGGUUCCUGACUUCUUGUCGUUCCUUAGUAGUCCUACAGAUGAAAACAUAGUGGCUUCAGCAUGUUGACAAAAAGCCUCAUCAGUUCCAACAUUCUUAAUUUAGUAAAUAUGACUGUCAACACUAUAUUGAUAAAAAGAUGAGGUUUUAGACUUUUUUUUUCCUUAAAUUGAAUGCUUAAUUUGUUUCUAAUUAAAAAAAAAACAAAUGAAAGUGUAAACUUUGCUCCUCAUCUCAUUGGUCUCCUGCACCAACAUGUGUUGCACGGUCAUUUCAUAUGUUUAUUUUGAAAUGAAAUUAUUAAUCUUUAAGAAAAUUGGGAUCGGAAUUACUAUCAUAUGUCUUUUAAAGUUACAAAGACUUGCAAGAAAUUGCGUUAGAAAAACUCUACAAUACAUGAGAAGUUUCUCACCCCAAAGGUUGACAAGUUACUGGUUUUAAAGGAACGUGGUACAUAAAUUUUCUUCUGUCUUUGAAAAUGCCUGUAAGGUAAUUAGGAAAAAAAAGUUUGAAGUGGUACAUUACAUGGAUGGAUAUCUACAGCACAUUUCUUCUAUAUUCAUGUUAUAAAUACACAGAUUUCCAGAUUGGAUUUAAACAGAUUUGUUACAUUUGGUUAUAUAAACCCAAUAAAGAAAGAAAAAGCAACUGUCUUCAAUAUUACUGAAUCUGACAAAAAAUGAGGUACAGAUCUGUCUCAUAAUCUGACGGCAAAUAGAAAUAUUAUUUCUAUUUGCCAUUUCAGUGACUAGCUUCCUUUGGGAUGCAAGCUGUUUUGCUAAUAUUUGUUUGAUAUAAGCAAUAUAAUGACCCUGACAAAACAAAGGAUAUUACAGGUUGCUACAGACCACUGGAAGACCUUUAAAAGAGACACUUAAAAAAUGGAAGUGAAGACACAACAAGUCAGGCACUGGAAGAGAAGACUUCUACAGGCUCUCAAGAAAUUUGACUGUGGGUAAAAGCAAGGAAAAUAACAGAAUUCUCAGUAGUCUAGUGACAGGUCCUUGUACAUUCUAUCAUCAAUGCAAAAUUCAUUUCCAAGGCACGAUAUUUAGUAAUCAUAUGUUGUCCAAUACAUAAACCUGAGAAAUUAAAAUGUGAAGUUAUCCCCA
Long non-coding RNA from Gallus gallus (chicken), 1594 nucleotides. RefSeq lists it as uncharacterized. NCBI's taxonomy places the organism in Eukaryota, Metazoa, Chordata, Aves, Galliformes, Phasianidae. The record is from RefSeq and is a predicted model, not a curated record. The transcript has 2 exons.